GGAUCCUCCCAGAUAGGGCCGCCCAGUCCAGAUCAGGCCACCCAGCCCAGCGUGGCAGGCACUGAUGGACACCGGCUGAGUCACCAUUUCCUCCUGGCCCCUUGCCCGGGCCCGAUGCUUUCUGGGGACUUUCCUGAACAUCAAAAACAAGGUAACAGGAUGUUCCUGUACUCAAGCAGCUCCUCCCAGCCCCAGCCCGCCACUCUCUGAGGACAGAGGAGUUCUCUGCUUGGCUUCCACUGUUCAGCCCCCGCCAGCCUCUGAGACUCCCACAGGGAGUGCAGGUAAGGGGCCCAGCGCUCGGCUCCCACCCCAGCUCAGCCUCCUCAUGUGUCCUUGGGCCAACCCUCUCCCAGUCCUGGGCCUCAGUUUUCCCUUCUGAAUCAUGGGCCCCUCCGCUUUCCUUGGCCAGGAAUUUAGUCUCCAAGAUAGUGACCAGGAAUGGCAGUCCCAGUUCCCUCAGCAGCCGGAUGGAGGCGGAAAAUAAACCAAGAAGCCUGGUUUCUUUCUCCACACAUUUACUUUUAAAAAAUAACUGUACAAAAUAAUGAUUUCUUAAGGCAUAUCAGAAAUGCUGAGUCCCAGGCCGGGGCCCUGCCCCAGCCAGCGCUGGCACUCUGCAGUUGGGAGCUUGUCCAGCUGCCCCCUCUAGUGCUCUUCUCCUCCAGGACACAAGGAGCCUCCGGAAGCACAGUAGUCCCGGGCUGUCACCUUAGGCUGACCUCUGUCCCCAGGUAUGACGUAAUGUUGUCACUGUCUUGAAUUCUUCAUCAUUUAACGGGGAGCCCAGUGCUUUCACUUUGCACGUUAGGUAUCUGGUCUUGCCUGUCCUACCCUGAACCUGGGUUCCCUGGGCCAUGGAACACCCACGCAGCUCUGAUGCCCCUGGGUACUUGGAGGAGCUCCCAGGAAGUCCAAGCCUGCGCCAGGAACCUCUGGCUUUCAAAGUCUUCAAAGGCUGGAGCGGCUGCCCCUGCCACCCACAGACACCACAUAGCUCUGACAACCUGCUUUCCUGAACGCCUCGUUCCUGGGUCCUUUCACCCACUGGACCUCACUGUGUGGCCUCAACUUUGAGGCACCUGCCCUCUGAACCCCCAGUUCUACAAUAAACGGGGUGGAUUC
This is a long non-coding RNA of Piliocolobus tephrosceles (Ugandan red Colobus), 1125 nucleotides long. RefSeq lists it as uncharacterized. The record is from RefSeq and is a predicted model, not a curated record. The transcript has 2 exons. Lineage: Eukaryota; Metazoa; Chordata; Mammalia; Primates; Cercopithecidae.